This 450-nucleotide ribosomal RNA is filed under the name uncultured bacterium. RNAcentral's name for it is "partial 16S ribosomal RNA". It matches the Rfam family "Bacterial small subunit ribosomal RNA", at positions 354 to 796 of the family's 1533-position model. The record is from RNAcentral.
GUGGGGAAUUUUGGACAAUGGGCGCAAGCCUGAUCCAGCAAUGCCGCGUGCAGGAAGAAGGCCUUCGGGUUGUAAACUGCUUUUGUACGGAACGAAACGGUCCGGGUUAAUACCCUGGGCUAAUGACGGUACCGUAAGAAUAAGCACCGGCUAACUACGUGCCAGCAGCCGCGGUAAUACGUAGGGUGCAAGCGUUAAUCGGAAUUACUGGGCGUAAAGCGUGCGCAGGCGGUUUUGUAAGACAGGCGUGAAAUCCCCGGGCUCAACCUGGGAAUUGCGCUUGUGACUGCAAGGCUGGAGUGCGGCAGAGGGGGAUGGAAUUCCGCGUGGAGCAGUGAAAUGCGUAGAUAUGCGGAGGAACACCGAUGGCGAAGGCAAUCCCCUGGGCCUGCACUGACGCUCAUGCACGAAAGCGUGGGGAGCAAACAGGAUUAGAAACCCUUGUAGUCC